AUUGAACGCUGGCGGCAUGCCUUACACAUGCAAGUCGAACGGUAACGGGCCUUCGGGUGCCGACGAGUGGCGAACGGGUGAGUAAUACAUCGGAACGUGCCCGAUCGUGGGGGAUAACGAGGCGAAAGCUUUGCUAAUACCGCAUACGAUCUACGGAUGAAAGCAGGGGACCGCAAGGCCUUGCGCGGACGGAGCGGCCGAUGGCAGAUUAGGUAGUUGGUGGGAUAAAAGCUUACCAAGCCGACGAUCUGUAGCUGGUCUGAGAGGAUGAUCAGCCACACGGGGACUGAGACACGGCCCAGACUCCUACGGGAGGCAGCAGUGGGGAAUUUUGGACAAUGGGCGCAAGCCUGAUCCAGCCAUGCCGCGUGCAGGAUGAAGGCCUUCGGGUUGUAAACUGCUUUUGUACGGAACGAAAAGCCUUCUUUUAAUACAGGAGGGUCAUGACGGUACCGUAAGAAUAAGCACCGGCUAACUACGU
Molecule: ribosomal RNA, 481 nt
Filed under: uncultured bacterium
Lineage: Bacteria
Description: partial 16S ribosomal RNA
Rfam family: Bacterial small subunit ribosomal RNA
Source: RNAcentral